AAGGAACACCAGUGGCGAGGGCGACCACGUGGACUGAUACCACCACUGAGCUGCGAAAGCGUGGGGAGCAAAACAGGAUUAGAUACCGUGGUAGUCCACGCCGUAAACGAUGUCAACUAGCCGUUGGACUCCUGGAGAUUUAGUGCCGCAGCUAACGCAUUAAGUUGACCGCUUGGGGAGUACGGCCGCAAGGUUAAAACUCAAAUGAAUUGACGGGGGCCCGCACAAGCGGUGGAGCAUGUGGUUUAAUUUGAAGCAACGCGAAGAACGUUACCAGGCCUUGACAUGCAGAGAACUUUCCAGAGAUGGAUUGGUGCCUUCGGGAACUAUGACACAGGUGCUGCAUGGCUGUCGUCAGCUCGUGUCGUGAGAUGUUGGGUUAAGUCCCGUAACGAGCGCAACCCUUGUCCUUAGUUACCAGCACGUUAUGGUGGGCACUAUAAGGAGACUGCCGGUGACAAACCGGAGGAAGGUGGGGAUGACGUCAAGUCAUCAUCGCCCUUACGGCUUGGGUACACACGUGGUACAAUGGUCGGUACAGAGGGUCAGAA
RNAcentral lists this ribosomal RNA (551 nucleotides) under Pseudomonas putida. RNAcentral describes it as "bacterial SSU rRNA". It matches the Rfam family "Bacterial small subunit ribosomal RNA", at positions 701 to 1252 of the family's 1533-position model. Lineage: Bacteria; Pseudomonadati; Pseudomonadota; Gammaproteobacteria; Pseudomonadales; Pseudomonadaceae. The record is from RNAcentral.